GGAAUAUUGGACAAUGGGCGAAAGCCUGAUCCAGCAAUGCCGCGUGAGUGAUGAAGGCCUUAGGGUUGUAAAGCUCUUUUACCCGGGAUGAUAAUGACAGUACCGGGAGAAUAAGCCCCGGCUAACUCCGUGCCAGCAGCCGCGGUAAUACGGAGGGGGCUAGCGUUGUUCGGAUUUACUGGGCGUAAAGGGCGCGUAGGCGGCCACCGCAAGUCGACUGUGAAAUCUCCGGGCUUAACCCGGAAAGGUCAGCCGAUACUGCGGGGCUAGAGUGCAGAAGGGGCAACUGGAAUUCUCGGUGUAGCGGUGAAAUGCGUAGAUAUCGAGAGGAACACCUGCGGCGAAGGCGGGUUGCUGGGCUGACACUGACGCUGAGGCGCGAAAGCAUGGGGAGCGAA
Molecule: ribosomal RNA, 398 nt
Filed under: uncultured bacterium
Lineage: Bacteria
Description: bacterial SSU rRNA
Rfam family: Bacterial small subunit ribosomal RNA
Source: RNAcentral